Molecule: ribosomal RNA, 292 nt
Filed under: uncultured bacterium
Lineage: Bacteria
Description: partial 16S ribosomal RNA
Rfam family: Bacterial small subunit ribosomal RNA
Source: RNAcentral
GUGCCAGCCGCCGCGGUAAUACGUAGGGGGCAAGCGUUGUCCGGAUUUACUGGGUGUAAAGGGCGCGCAGGUGGAUUUGCAAGUCAGGGGUGAAAUCUCACGGCUUAACCGUGAAAGUGCCUUUGAUACUGCAAAUCUUGAGUUCGGAAGAGAGAGACGGAAUUCCAGGUGUAGUGGUGAAAUACGUAGAUAUCUGGAAGAACACCAGUUGCGAAGGCGGUCUCUUGGUCCGAUACUGACACUCAGGCGCGAAAGCGUGGGUAGCAAACAGGAUUAGAAACCCGCGUAGUCC